RNAcentral lists this ribosomal RNA (325 nucleotides) under uncultured eukaryote. RNAcentral describes it as "partial 18S ribosomal RNA". It matches the Rfam family "Eukaryotic small subunit ribosomal RNA", at positions 1470 to 1796 of the family's 1831-position model. The record is from RNAcentral.
CCCUUAGAUGUCCUGGGCUGCACGCGCGCUACACUGAUGUGUCCAGUAAGCACCUAACCUCUUCCGAAAGGAACGGGUAACCUUUGCAAAGCACAUCGUGAUGGGGAUAGAUUAUUGCAAUUGUUAGUCUUGAACGAGGAAUUCCUAGUAAACGCGAGUCAUCAGCUCGCAUUGAUUACGUCCCUGCCCUUUGUACACACCGCCCGUCGCACCUACCGAUUGAAUGUUUCGGUGAAGAUUCCGGAUAGGACUUUUUUGAUUUAUUUCAAUUUUGUCUUAAAAGCUAUCUAAACCUCAACAUUUAGAGGAAGGUGAAGUCGUAACA